AACGGCCGCGGUAUUUUGACCGUGCAAAGGUAGCGCAAUCAAUUGUCUUUUAAAUGAAGGCCUGUAUGAAUGGCACAACGAAGGCUUAGCUGUCUCCUUUUUCCAGUCAAUGAAAUUGAUCUUCCCGUGCAGAAGCGGGAAUGUUAACAUAAGACGAGAAGACCCUAUGGAGCUUAUAAACGCAAGAGUAGUCCACGUCAAUCACUCUAACUUACUAGACUUAAACUAACUGAAGACCCUACUCUCAUGUUUUUGGUUGGGGCGACCAUGGAGUAAAACUAAACCUCCACGCAGAACGAAAAUAUAUUAUUUUCCAAUUUAAGGGAAACACCCCUAAAAAUCAGAACAUCUGACUUUUAUUGAUCCGGCAAGGCCGAUCUACGAACCGAGUUACCCUAGGGAUAACAGCGCAAUCCUCUUUUAGAGUCCUAAUCGACAAGGGGGUUUACGACCUCGAUGUUGGACCAGGACAUCCUAAU
Molecule: ribosomal RNA, 479 nt
Filed under: Epiplatys infrafasciatus
Lineage: Eukaryota; Metazoa; Chordata; Actinopteri; Cyprinodontiformes; Nothobranchiidae
Description: partial 16S ribosomal RNA
Rfam family: Bacterial large subunit ribosomal RNA
Source: RNAcentral